GAGGAUGCAUCAAUGAGGGAGAUACAACUCUAUUUCUCAGGGAAAGGGAACAUUUCUGGGAAGUGAGUAGAAAUAAUCAAUGAAGCAUAUACAAAAAUAACUGGAACCAAGGCAGAGUGAGACAGGUGCCAUAGAGGUCCACCCAGUGGUGACAUCAUAUUGGGUUGGAACUUACCAAGCAACAGCUCAUAGGGAAGUCUGCAUUUGAUAGGAAAUAAAGAUAAAUGGGUAAGGUUUUACCUGACUGGGAACAUAAAAUUAUGCAGAUAAGACAAAGCAUGGCUUAAAUUUUGGCUCUAAAGCCCAUCCUUAUCGAGCUAGUUCUCCUGCGACCUAGACCUAGGUUUCAGAACUGGGGCAAUGAUACCACGGGAAGGCAGGUGUGAUGUUGUCUUCUCCCAAGGACCUUCUCCAACCACACUACUCGAAGUGUGUCCAGAAUUGGUGGGUUCUUGGUCUCGCUGACUUCAAGAAUGAAGCCGUGGACCCUCGCGAUUAAACAAGUGCAACUUUCCCAAUCUCACACAACUACUUGUGGAGCCAAGAUUCCACACAGGCAAUGUGAGUGCACAUCCAAAACUUGAAACCACUGAACAAUAAUGCUUUCUGAAAGAUAAGGAAUUUCUUCAUGAUCAUUGGUGCUAGCUGGCUUGCUCGUCCUCCUCAACUUCCAGUACUGUUGAAUCGUUGUGUAUAAUUUGACCAACAUUAAAUCUUUCUUUUUUGACACGGAGUCUCGCUCUGUCGCCCAGGCUGGAGUGCAGUGGCAUGAUCUCAGCUCACUGCAAGCUCCGCCUCCCAGGUUCAUGCCAUUCUCCUGCCUCAGUCUCCCAAGUAGCUGGGACUACAGGCACCCACCAACCAUGCCCGGCUAAUUUUUUGUAUUUUAAUGGAGACAGGGUUUCACCGUGUUAGCCAGGAUGGUCUUGAUCUCCUGACCUUGUGAUCCGCCCGCCUUGGCCUCCCAAAGUGCUGGGAUUACAGGCACAACAUUAAAUCUUUUUAAAUGAUACGUGUCUCUUUGGUUAGUUUUCACACAGUUAUAGGUCAUAAACCAUUUUUACCUUACCUUUCUCACUUAACAUGUACUAUAAGCAUUUUCUAUAAUAUUUUACUUCUAUCUCUUUAGCAACUGAGCCCUAAAGCCCGUCCAUGUGUCUAGACUGGUCUGUUGCUCCUUCACUUUUUAAAAGAUAGAAAAAUAUAGUUACUACUAGUUGAAACUGCAUCCUGAAUUUGACUUUCCAAAAGUUGACGCAUUCCAUCAUGAAGUGGCCUGGUCUUUCCCCAGCAGCAGCAACCCAACAAACUAACAGCUGACUAUGCCCAAGUAGAAAACCCCAUACUCUAGAAGGGGCUACAUCACAUCCCCCUGGCAAGUUGCUCUCUUCACCCAGUGAAUUUACACUAUUUUCAGGCAUUGGCAGCUAUCUGUCCAGAACUUGCAUCAUAAAGGGUACAUGGGCACUGUACUUGUCUUUAACUCUACAGAGGCUUUGAUAAAUGGGUGAACAAUUAAACAACUGAUUUCACUAUAAAAACUGUCACCUCUUUGCCCUGCUUCUUAAGGAAGGUGACAUGGAAAGGGCUAGUUUGCCUCCUAAAAAAGGGCAUGAGUCUUUUGGGAAAAACUCACGUAACUCUAUUUAGAAGCAGUUUAAAUUGCUAAGUCAACCAACACAAAUAUUGAUGAAGCACCUGUAAGUAUGAAAUAUUAUACUAGGCAGUGCAGGAGAUACCAGGAACAUGAGAAAUGCUUUCUGACCUUCAUAUUUAAAUAAAGUGACAUAGGUUUAGUAGCUAGUGCUGUGGCUGGCACGUAGUAGCCAGUCAACAAAUGCUAGUUUCUCUCCUGUCUUCCUUUCCUCAUCCUUUCCCUUAAGGAUUUUACAACUUAGUUGCAGGAAAAGGCCAUAAACAUGAAAACUGUUAAAUACUACCAUGAAAUUUAAAUAACCAUAUGAGGAAUUUCACAUGUUAAUUACCUAAUACCACCACCUGAAGUUUAUUAAGUGCUUCACAUUACUUUCUAACAAGUAAUGAACCCAGAUAACAAUGUUUCUUUAAAAGGAAACGGUUAAAGGCUACUGUCUGCUUUGUUUUUUCUUUAUUUUGUUUUGAUUUUUCCUUUCUCUUAGUAUCAGAAUGUUGACUCUAUGAGUUAGGCCAUAUCCAUAUCAUUAUUAUACUAUAUGUGACACUAUUCGUGCAUCUUUUUUCUCAUUAUUAUACUUUAAGUUCUGGGAUACAUGUACAGAACGUGCAGGUUUGUUACCUAGGUAUACAAGUACCAUGGUGGUUUGCUGCACCCAUCAACCCAUAAUCUACAUUAGGAAUUUCUCCUAAUGCUAUCCCUCCCCAAACCUCCUACCCCCAGACAGGCCCCAGUGUGUGAUGUUCCCCUCCCUGUGUCCAUGUUUUCUCAUUGUUCAACUCCCACUUAUGAGUGAGACCACAUGGUGUUUGGUUUUCUGUUCUUGUGUUAGUUUGCUGAGAAAUUCAGUUCAAAAAAUCUCUCUACAAACUCCAUGAAGUUAGAUACUAUAUCUGGCAUAUUCGUUUUGGUAUUCUUAAAGCUAAUAAAGUGUCUGGUAUACAGUAUAUGUACAAUCAAUAUGUGAUGACUGUAUAAAUUAAUGAAAUCCACAAGUGAAAGGAAAAAUUGUACAUUUUACUCUAUGUAGUGAUAAAUAGGGAUCAAUAAGGGAUGCCUAGUAAAUAAUCAGUCUUUAUUACCUCCUCAUUAAAGAUAUAAUGAUAAUCCCUAAUGAGUGUUGUCACAGUUAAUUUGCUUUUUUCUUCCUAGUUGCAUGUGGCAGAAUUCCUCUUCUUGAUUCAAAAUCUUAUUAUUCCUCUUACUCUGCCGGGGAUUCAAAUAUCAAUCUAUCAAUUUGUUUAUUCUCCAAACUUCUAUUCAACAGGCUCCAGAAGUUUUUGAUAUGCCAUUCUACAGCUCUAAUCUCAUGCCCUGCAUCUGGGUUUUCUCUGAAAGAAUAUAUAUUCUGGUUUUGUGACUGUGGUAAGGAGCCCUUAACCUCUUUUGGUGGAAUAAGUCACUUCUGGUUUAGAGUGUAGACUGAUAAUGGUUUUCCCAUUAGGACAUCCUUGGGACAGCGAUCAUUACCGGUCACUCUUUUGAAUUUAAUGUCCUAUGGUGGACACUUUCUCACGCGAACUCACCAUAAUGAGUCACAGUGAAGGAGACCUAGGGGUUAAACUGUGUGAUUAAAUACACUAUGAAAAACGAUCAGGAACUAGAAUUCAAGUCUUCGGAUUUGCAGUUCAAUUUUUAUUUCACCAUGAUGCAUUACUGCUCUUUGAGGGAUGUAGUCAAUAAACAUUAUAGAUCUAGAGGAGAGGAAGAUCCUUUUGAGCUGAAUUAUAUAGAACGUUUUGAAGCAUAUGGGUCUUAGAAUUGGGUCUUGAAGUUUAAGGCCUAAAUUGGAAAUGGCUCAUCAAUAAACACUUUUUUUUCACUGCACUCCUGAGACUCUUACAUAAAGGUUUGGGGUUUUCUAAGUAUAUGCAGGAAAAAAAAAUCAACAAAUGGGAACAGGUGUUUUUCAGUUUACAUGUCUUUGGAAUUGUGUCUCAUUUCUAUUUGGCAUUUUAAUUCGUUAACAUAUUGCCCCAUGACAGAGAAUACUAGAAGCGCCCCAGGCUGGCUGGACCACAGCCAUUGCCAGGCCGGCUGGCAGCUAACCUAGCACCAGCAAAAAUUCAUCAGCAUCACCUUCCUUCCUGUCCUUACCAACAACAAGUCUCUGCUUAUCCCUACUAAAAAUGGUGACACAGUGAAACUGAGGGGCAGCAGGAGAAGCUUGCCUGUACUUCAGUUUAACUGAAGAAAGAAGAUGACAUUUCACAACACCAGAGAAAUCAAUCCACCAUCUCCAAGAACCUUGCCAAGUUCUGUAACUUUCCUAACCCUUUCUCCCUCCACUAAUUCCACUCCUCAUUUGUCCCCAAUCCAAAUCUAAUCCCAAAAUUUCACAGCAUUAGGUAGAUAUGAGGAAAGAUAAAACAAAUCAUAAGCUUACCCUAAGGCCACCAAAUUCUCAAACUCUCCCCUUUCCCAUUAUUUGCUUCAGAAUCAUUAUAUCAAUUGUACAAAAUCUUGAACCAUGCUCUUUCCAGAAUCCUCAUUACAUCUAGCAGUAAUUUUAAAGCAAAUGUCAAGAUAAAACACAGGCACUAUGUUGAAAAGAAAAAGCUCAAAAACCCCAGGGAUAUUUAUCAAUAAAAUCAGAUGUUGACAGCUUUAUAAUAUAUAAUUGGAGUGGUUCCAUGAGGGAAAUAAUUUUUAUGGGAUCAUAAAGCCCUAGUCCACUAUGAAAAACAUUUGAUGGCCAGGCACGGUGGUGGCUCACAUCUGUAAUCCCAGCACUUUUGGGAGACUGAGGCUGGUGGAUCACUUCAGUCUAGGAGAUCUAGACCAGCCUGGGCAACAUAGUGAGACCCCGUCUUGAAAAAAAAUUAGCUGGGCAUGGUGGCACAUGCCUGUAGUUCCAGCUACUCAGGAGGCUAAGGUGGGAGGAUGGCUUGAGCCCAAGAGGGGAGAAGGGAAGUUGCAGUGAGCCAAGACUGCACCACUGCACUCCAGCCUGGGCAACACAGUGAAAUCCUGUCUCAAAAAAAAAAAAAAAAAUUGUAGAUUAACAUUUAAAUAUGUGGCUCAAACGGCUAUUUUCUCUUUGGUCCUGAAAAUGUUUAUUCCUUCUGCUUUAAUUAUCUAAAUUCCCUUUUCCCACCAGAAAAGAUGUGUUCUUCUUAGGGGGAAAACAAAGAAAGAAAUAUCUAAGUUACAAGCAAAUACUGAAUUUCUCUGCUUCCUCUGUGAGAGUUGGUGGCUUCUUACGUUACGCUUUUGCCAAAAUAACAAGCAUAUUGCAUCUGCAGCUAUACAGUCUCUUCCUGUCUCUCUGGGAUUGAAAUUCUACACAUUGCUGAAUAUUUCUUUAAUUUUUUCCAAGUGUUAGAAGAGUGAUUUGUAGGCCAAAAGAAAGGUUCUGUUUAACACCUGUGUUUUCAUUGGAAAAGAUCAUUUCUUUACAAGUGUCUGGUAUACUCAACUUUAUAUAUCAAUGAUAUUAGAAAAUAAAAUUACAAAUCUGCAAUGUUUGUAAAAGUUGCUUUCUAAAUUCUAUUGUGUCCAUUACCUACAUAGACAGUUUUCCAAUGUUUUUGACUGCAAAGUCCAGAAAUAGAUACAUUUUAUUGUGACACAGGACAAAUACACAUACCCACAAGUGCACAGAAAUGCAAAUAAGCAUGCACACAUACACAUAGGAAAACAUUCAUGUGUAACUUACACAGAAGUUUCAUGAACAAUAUUUACCCAGUUUCUAAAGCAAAACUUGCCAGCCAAACAGGAUGACUUAUAGCAGUGUAAGUUGUCAUAUACAUCUGUUAACAUACUGCCUCUGCUAAGAUCCCCUUCCUUACUGUUUUCUCCUAGUUAAAUCCCCUGAAUGUGUGUCCACGCUAUUCUUUUCUGCCACGCUGUGCCUAGAACAGUGGUACCCAUGUAUUAGCUUGUAAUUAUCAACUGAGUUCCUUGAAAACUGUGACUCUGGAUUAUAUACCUUGACAUCCUUAAUAAUCAGAAUAUUCUAUGGCACGUAAUAGAUGCUCAAUAAGUACCUGUGCACAACCCAUUUAUUAAAAUUUCCAGUAUUAACAAAAAUCAGUAAAAUUGAUGAUCAAUGAAAAGUUACAAGCUGUGAAAGAAUCAUAAUACCUUAUAAAAUCUAGUUCAUGCAGAGAUUAGUAACUGUGACCCUCUGAGAUGGUCCAUCCUAGUUGAAAUGAGUCAGGUUACUGCUGCUGUUCCCACUUUUGCAUGCUCAGAUAAUGCCAGCAGCUACUGAUAAUUAUAGAUACAGAUAAUGUGUUUAAUUAAUCAGAAACAUUUGCAUGAAUAUAGUAUAUUUCAAAUAUCACCAGAAGACAGUGAAUCUCACAGCCACUUCUAACUAGAAAUUACUCUAAAGCUUUUCUUUGCUGAACUGUUUUUAAGCAAAGAACCACGGUUUAUCUGCUUUAUUUAUUUAUUUGAUUGGUUUGUUGUUUGUUUAUUUAUUUAUUUUGGCCUUCAUGGUAAUUGAGCUUCCACUGGGGAAGAAGAGAGAAGAUUGAAGAGGUGGACCGGCCGCAUAUUUCAUCAUGAAGAUUUAUCCGGAGGUAACAAGACAGACAUUUGUUAAUUUCCCUCCUGAGUGGGUUUUUGGAGGCUUUCCAAUCCUCAAACAAAGAGAGCCUCAUUAGCUAAUUCCAGAGAAAACAACUGCUUCAAAGCCACAGCCUGGAGUUCAAGCUCCUUCUACUUUGGAACUCGUGGAGCCCCUCCAUCAGCCUGGCAUGAUUAGCCCACAAGAACUGGACAGCGUGCAUCCUUGCACAUACAUACUGAUCCAUCAUUUCAGGUUGGGGUGUAACAUUUAUGAUCUGUCUGGAGAAGAACAGAGAAGGUUUAGGACUAUUACUUAAGAGAGAAGGUGUGAUGCAACAGAGAAAGUAGAACAAGGUAGUUUUAAUUUUUUUCCUUACAAGAGAAUCUCCACUCUAGAAGAAUCACAACACAGAUGCUUAUCAGGGAGAUAAGUUCCAGAUAGAAGAGGAGAGAAUACAAGAGCAAUUAGAAUCUUCAAAUGAGUUCAAGGAUUAGAACCAAAUGAAUGUCAUCCUGAGAUAUAAAGGGGACCUGUAGUUAUGAUUGUGGCUCCACUGUUAGGAGUCUUUAAAUAAAUUAUGGAAAUACAGUCAGAAAUUGGAGGUUGGGAAAUGAUGGCCCAGUUUUCAAAAGGGAGCUCGGUACUGAAUAGAUGUCAAAAAACAUUUGAAAAGUUAUCAUAGGAGAGAAAGUUAUAAUUUAUAUGUUGAUUUUAAAAGUGCAGAGUUAGGCUUGAGUGCAAUGUAGAAGAAGACAAACAGCAGUUAACUACAAGAAUUUUUUGAGAAUUGGAGCUGUUCAUACAUGAGGGUCUGCACUGCUUCCCAUCCCAGGGCCACCUCUUCUAACCCAUGUCUGAGCUGUUUAUCAGGGAAGCAGCAUUUGAUAAUCUGGUCAAAUUCGAAGCCAUUCAUUUGAACACCUUUUACUACCAGAUGGAGUCACUGUACCUUCAAAAGCACCAAGAGAUGUGUUCUGUCUCUUCCAGAUUCCACAUGAUGUCAAUCUUUCCUCUGCUUCUCCCCAAACCCACAACCCACUGGACAGACCCAGUCUUGCUGGUGCUAAGAAAUAGAUUUUGAGGGAAUUAGAAGAGAUUCUGCUUAGGCUUCUAGCCAAAGUAUAAACUGUUUCAUAAUCUCUGCUUUGUGGAUAGCGGAGCUUCCACAGCUAUUAGUAACAUGGCCCUUUGACAUCCUUUCUGCAUAUUACCAGCUCCCUCAGGAUCCCUGAUGAGCGGAGUAAGAUGCUGGAAUUCCCAGCUUCUUGCAUAAAAUACGAGAAAAUGGAGCCAAAACGUCACUUCAACCUCUGGUAGAAGACUGGGUGAUUAGAGCACAAAACAGGUUAUCUUCUGUCAGGAAUGUUCAGGGGAAGAUUCUUGCCUUGGACAGGAAAUGAGACUAAGAUGUUCUUUGUAGCAAACUGAUAACCAUGACCUGACUUUUUGAAGAUGAUAUUGCACAUAAUGAUCACAUCUCGGCCCCCAGACUGGAUUUCUAUCCCAAAUCCUCUGCACCAAUGAUACUAUACUGCAAAGACGAUAGUGAGUUUAUCCAUCCUUGCAAUAUCUCUUUAUCUAUUCAAAGCACCUAUUUCUAAAAUCUCACAUUACCCUUUAUUUCUCUUCCUCUAAUCACUACAUAAUGAUUUAAAAAAUAUCUUCCAUGCUUUACUUUCUUGUUUGAGUAUUCAAAUUUUAAAAGAAUUAUUUAAUGUUUACACUGGGGUUGGAAUGGGUAGAGAAGCGUGGGAUAAAGAACCUUCCAACGGGCAUCUUGGAAUGCUUAACCCUUCACGUUAGAGUACAUUUUAGCAUAUGUCUUUAUGCCUUGAGGUUAAUCUGCCUGGUUUAAUCUUUUCCUCUGCCUAUAUAUUUUAUAUUCAAAGAAGACUGACUGCAAACACCAUGUCUGCUUCAUUUUUCCUUUUUUUCACAGAUCCAAGAGACUGACUCAGGCUAUGAAUCAGCUACGUAAGUUCCAUGAAAGGGCUAUGUCUUCUAAGAAAAAGGAUCACGCUGACCUCCACUUUCAACAAGUUGCCUCUAAGCAUGAAGUGACCCUAAGAGAUAGGAAGAUAAGGAGGUAAUGGGUCUGGUUGAGACCAAGCAUCCAAACUAAGAAAUAAAGUUUGCAUAUGGUAACAACAAUAAUAAUAUUACAAAUGGGACAUAAGACAUAUCUAUAAAGGGAACUAAGGUUUCACUAAUAACACUGCAUCUAAUAUUUCUGUGAAUCCCAAGUGAUUACUCACAUACUAAAAAGCAACCACCUAACCCUCUUUGUCUGUUUUGUAGUAUAAGAAAGGAUAAAGAGAGAAAUUUGUCCCUGGCGUUACAUUUUCUUAUGCAAACUGAUGUAAAUCACACAUCUCAAUGUUGAAAGCUUGUCUGACAAGCAUUUCCAAAGCACAAAACAAAUCUCAUAACAGGUUAACUUGCACUGGGCUGUUGUUGGCAAAGGACUUUUAGUACUUCUGAGAAGGCUGAAAAAUAAUUUUUCUGCUAGGAAAAAAAAUGUACCCAAAUAUAAUGGUGUAUUAAGGGAUUAGUGCUAGAUUAAAGUAUUCUUUCUUCUCACAACCAGGGACAAUCUUUUGAUCUAAUCUAAGAGGUAAUCUAAUUUUAAUGCAAGUGGAAGAACUGAAAAGCUGCACAGAGUAUAAAAAGAAGGACUAAGGUAGUAGAGAAAGAGGAUCUUCCCUUUGCCAGGUAGGGGAUCCAUCUGAUAAGCUGGUAUACGCCUUAGACUUACUGCUGUAUGUGUCCUAAUAGUUAUGACUCCAUAAGUCACUAAGUAAAGAUACACAUUUAAAACUUGGGGAUUGACAUAGCGGGAGCAUCGUUAUCUUGGACAAGCACCACCAUUCUAAAGUUCCCCGUGAUCAAAAACUGCCUAAAUCCAAAGGGCAUCAGCUUAAUGGCUAAGGUCAGCAUGACUAUAAACCACAAAUAACAUCCCAGUCCAGAAACAUUCCAACCAUAAGAUAAACCCCUCCCCGACCAGAGACAGGUUAGCCCCAAGAUAACUUCCCUUCCAGAGACAUUCCAACCCCACCAUAAAUUUCUCCCCCACACAGAAACAUUCCAAGCCUGUGAUAAAGCUCUCUCGCCCAAUAAAUACUCUUAGUCUGUAAGAGAGAGUGCUCCUGUCCAAAAAUUGGCCAGAAGCCCCUCUCAGGUUUAUUCUGCAAAAUUAACCUGUCUUUGACUGUUGAGCCGCUUUUCGUGUUUCUUUCCUGUUUCUUUAACUCUUACAGGGAUCUCUUGGUUCAGAACACAUUUGAGGGCCUGUUAUAUACUAGGCAUUAUCAUAUUUCUUGAUUCUUUUAAAUUUCAUUGAUUUCAAUAUCUAAAACUUCCCUAUUAGGUACCUUUUUCAGAUGAAGCAAACUAAAAUUUAGAAAAGUUAAGCAAUUUCCCCAAGGUCAUGUUAGUAUAUAUCUGGGAGAACAACAAUUUGAAUUCACAUCUUUCCGACUAAGCCAGGCUGAACCCUUAAUGACCUUUCUCAACUAUCAGCUCACCUCUCCCCAUAAUGCAUAUUUUACAGCUCAAAAAGGAGAGGAAGGAAAAACCUUUAAACCCAUUGCUAGAAAGGGUGUAUUACGUACAAGGCAGAAUGGCAAGCACAGGAGAAAUCAUUAAAGAAUGUCAUAAAAGACCAAAAAAAAAAAAAACCCAUCCCAAGAUUUGUCCUCUUAUAUAUUGGGAAAGAGACCUGUUCCCCCAUGGCAUGAACCAUCAAGAAAACCGACUGUCUUUAGAUUUUCAUAAAUAAAUCCUCAGCCUUGGAUUGACAUUUUCUUUAUGAAGCCAUAGAGAAAUAAUUGCUACAUAUUUCAGAAUGUUCUAGUUCAGCACUGUCCAAGAGAAAUGUAAUGUGAACCACAUAUGCAAUUAUAAAUUUCCAAGGAUUCACAUUUAAAAACUGUACAAAGAAAUGUUAAAUUAAUUGUAAUAAUGUAUUUUGUGUAGCCCAAUAUAAUCAAAAUAUUAUUUCAACAUCUAAUGUAUAUAAAAAUUGUUGGAGAUAAUUUAUAUCUUGAUAUGAAGUCUUUACAAUCUAGUAUAUUUUUGUACUUAACAGCACACUGAAACUCAAUGCUAAAUUUUCAGUGCUUUAGGUGAAACAUAGUUUUAUUAGAACAAAAAUUGUGUUUGAUGAAAACUAUUUUACACUGCUUGAGUUUUUAAAUUUAAAUGGAAAUUAUACUGAAAUAAGAAUUAAAAUUAUCUGCUUAUUCAUACUAGCCAUAUUUUAAUUAUGUAAUAGCUAGUGACUACUAUAUUGAACAGCAGAGUUCUAGACAAAAAGAAAAUAUAAGAUUUUCUCAUGCUACAUCUAAGACAUUCAUAGUAAGCAACUAUGAAAAUGAAAGCUAACUCCAGUGUACUCAAGGCAGAGAAAAUGGAAGACAUUUACCAUAAAUCUUCCAUAUGCCCUUUUAUCUUUUGAUGAUUGUCCACAAUAUGAACAGGACAGGGCAAGUGCUGCAGGUAGGUUGUCUGUUCUUCCAAUACCAUUCUCGUAGAACUGACUGGCUAGAGAAAGGGUGACACUGGCUAAUGUGUCCCGACUCAUGGAAGACCUGUUGGCCACCAAUACUUUCUGCAACUGAAACAUUUUUGGAAGGUAAUUUUAAUACUGGUCUAGAAAAUCAAGCACUAAUACAUAACUGCUAAUUUUCAGCUGAGGUAUGCAUGAAAUAAUGCCGUUUAUGUAAAACCAAAAAUUGAUUCAAGUGUCAAACAAGUUUAUACACGACUAAUCUUGGAAUUGCCUAACAUGUGAAAAAACUAAGAAGUAAAAUUAUCUUGAUGUCUUGGAAGAAUGUAUCUAGAAGUCACCAUGCCUGUCUAAUAAACAGGGACUUGUACCCAAAAGAAGCACCAAGGUACUUAGAUGAGCUAUAAAACUAUACUUCAUCAUUUGUUAUGCAAACCCCCGAGGACUGAAAUCUGAAUUUUACUCCUUUUCAGCCACUGUUUCUAAGCUUAUCUCCCACAGACCUUUAUAUAUAUAUAUAUAUUUUUUUGAAGACCUGGAAGAAAGGUGAUUCAUCUCUAUGAUGGGAGAAUUUCUUGAAGCCACAAAGUGAUGAGAAAUUGAUGUUCAUAAUAUUAGUUGCCAAGAAAAGACAGGUCACCAUUCUCUAAAUUCUGGACUUUCUUCUUAGGCUGUAAGCCCUUGCAUUAGUUUUGAUCAUAACUUACUUCAUGGACCAUCUUCAUUUAAAAGUAUGUAGAACCAAAAGUAUAUAAUAUUUAUUUUAAAGGCUAUAGUAUCUCUAGUACUGUAAUUCAUCACCUUAUUUUCUCUGUCCCCAAAUAUCUGAAAGAUAUGACAUGCUCUGAUUAGUAUCAGUGGCUCUCUAUGGCAGGAUAUUUUUUAUCAGAGCAGGGGAAAGAUGUGUAAUUCUAACACACUCAGUCCCAAUUAUUAUGAUUAGCCCUCUUCUCACCUCUAGACUGAGAUCCACUAAAAUAUCAAUGCAUUUAUGUCCUAUAAUAGCUACUUUAGAUAUACUUAGACAUUAUUUCUAAAACUUUCAUGCUUAGAAGAAUGUUUCACUUUUCAACAAAACUGGUACGAAUACAACCUAAUUUACAAAACAGAUAAGGCAGUAGGAGUUUUUGCAUUAUAAAAGAAAACUUCAAAGGAUUUCUCUAAGCAAUGAGUUGCCCUAAAACAUUUACAUGAUGAUUCAAGCUUUUUUUUAAAAAAAGGAUUUAUACAUAGCACCUUAUGAGGGCAUCUAUUAUAAUGUUAAGUGUAUCUGAACUAGUAAAACAAUUAUUUGUUCUAACUGAGGUUAUUACCAUUUUAUUAUUCAGGCCAGCAGCGCUAUCCCAAUCACCUGUGGAGCUAAAGUGACUGAGGUAGUCAUAUUAUAUUGAAUGUUAAUAUUUUAUUUUCCAAAAAGUAUAAUGAGUCUGCUUAAAUAAGAAUCCAUCAAAUUGAAAAUUAUUAUUUUUGCUACCAUAAAUAAUUCUGGAGUGGCAGUGGAUCAAUCAACACUAUAUCUGCUGUUGCCUUUUUAGGUUCGUGUGUUUGCUUGUUUUUCUCAAGGUAAUUUUUUUUUUUUUUUUUGAGACGGAGUCUCGCUCUGUAGUGCAGGCUGGAGUGCAGUGGCGCCAUCUCGGCUCACUGCAAGCUCCGCCUCCCGGGUUCACGCCAUUCUCCCGCCUCAGCCUCCGGAGUACCUGGGACUACAGGCACCCGCCACCACGCCCAGCUAAUUCUUUUGUAUUUUUAGUAGAGACAGGGCUUCACCGUGUUAGCCAGGAUGGUCUCGAUCUCCUGACCUGGUGAUCGCACGCCUCGGCCUCCCAAAGUGCUGGGAUUACAGGCGUGAGCCACCACACCCGGCCUUCUCAAGGUAAAUUUUUAAUAUGCUGUUGUUUUAACAUAUACAAAUACGUUCUAAAAUACCUUUAUACUCCCAUUGUUUAAAUUAUAGAGUUUUAUUUUCUUAAGGAUGUGAAUAAUUGUAAAAAUAGUGUCUUCUCAUAUACUGAAUUGGUACUGUAAGCAAUCAGUAGUGAGGGGAGAGAGUUUUCUCACAGUGAACAGUUUUUUUUUCAAUGAUUCUGUAUGAAAAGGGGCUAAGAUAUGAACUAUCAGUCUAAAAAAUCUCAUUGCAUAAACAUGAGUUUGUACUAAGACAGAUGUGUAGUGUCAAAUAAGUGAAAUAAAAACAAGUGAUUAGUAUAUAUUUUUACUUUUGAAAUACCAGAAAGUUAAAGUACUUGAUGGCUUAUUUUUCAAAUAAGAUCCUAAGUUCCAUCAGAUGUCUCAUUAUUUUUCAUCAGACCCACAGCUGGAAACUUGUAGGCUUCAUAUGCUACCUGGCUAGGCAUUCUUCAACUUCUUGCCUCAUCUCACUUUUUCCACUUAGAGAAAAACAAUAAUUCUUAUUAUUUAUGGACAGAAGAUAAGAUCUCUGCUUGACUUAUACUUUAAAUUAAAUAGGUCUUUUAGAUUUUAGCUAAAUGGCCAAGUCUCAGUCAAAUUGUUUUUCUUUACUUAAGAAAGUGAAGGUCUUAGAAAAUCAUUUUAGUAAGUGAUCUACAAAGAAUAUACAGGAAAAAUGAAAAUGGGUAACUAAUUGGUUAAUUGAUCUUAACUAUCAGUAGAAAUUGAUGGGCUUCAUCAGUAUCUAGGAGGCUGACCAUUAACAUAUAACAUUACAAAGAAAAAGUCUUUUUAUUGAAUGUGUAACUUAGUAGUUGUGCUGAGGCUACAAUUAGGCUAAUUCAUUAUUUUAAAAAACAUUAAAAUUUCAAGGUAAUAAUUGAAGAAUGCAAAAACAGAGAAGACUGGAAAUAUUUUAUUACAGUAGACAAAAACUAUCUCAGGGCACUGAAGUACAUUAUUCGUCUUCAUCAUUCAGCAGGUAGCAAACCACAAUGUCCAAUUUUAUAAGAAAUUCUGACUUUUUCAAAUCUUUGAGACUCAGUUGUAAUUAUAUUAUUAAAAAGCAAUCCGCUGAGUCUCAGAAACAGUAUGCUGAGUGAAAGAAGCCAGACAAGAAAAGGAUACAAUAUAUCAUUUCAUUUUUAUAAAAUUCUAGAACAUGAAAAAGUAAACUAUGGUGAUAGAAAUCAGAUCAGUGGUUGCUUAGAGGAAGGGGAGAAUUGGGCACGAGGUAACUUUUACAGGGUACUGAAAAGGUGAAAAAGUUCCCUGCUUUGUUAUAGGGAUGUGGAUGGAGUCCACAAUGGUAUGCAUUUGUCAAAACUCAUUGAACAGUAGAUGUAAGAUUUGAGAUUUUCAUUGUAUGUAAGUUAUACCUCAAUAAAAAAAAGUUAAGACCAAAGCAAACCAUUGCUCAAUCCAAACAUUAAAAUGAAUUUCAGUGUAAGAAAUCGGGUCUAUCAUGAAAUGACUGUGAAGCAAAAAUAGUUAAUUUCUACAGAAAGAAGAGGAAAAGUAAACUAGAGAAUGCCUGCCAUGUAGAAAUGGAAACCCUACUAUUACUGAAUCCUUAAAAUAUUGAGUUAGAAUUUAAACACCUAGAAAGCCAUAUCAAUAAGUGAAAAUCUCUUUUGUAUUCAAUAUAUAAAUUGUAUUGAACUGAAAGAAACAUGAAAAUUACAGUUUUCUUAAACUUAGAAUAUAGGCUAGUUUCAAUGCUCAAAUUUGGACUAAUAAAUCAUCUCUCUGAAAAUCUAUGGAAGAGUUUUCUUUUUGACUUUUUCUUUGCAGAUUUGUUUUAACUUAAGCUUCACUGUGUUUUCUGACAAUUGUGAUGCUGUGGAAAAUAUUGACAAAUUUGUGGACCAAGAUAGACAAUAACUCUUUGUAUGGAUAUUUUAAACAAUUUUUAAAAUCCUAACACAGGAUUGCUUAUUGACAAGGAUAAAAUAUAGAGCCAUGGCUCAGAGUGAGCUAGUGACAAUCAUAAUUUCUAAAUGUUGAUUUCCUUGAUGACACGGGGACUGUCAACAAAAAAGAAAAA
Molecule: long non-coding RNA, 14638 nt
Organism: Pan troglodytes (chimpanzee)
Lineage: Eukaryota; Metazoa; Chordata; Mammalia; Primates; Hominidae
Exons: 4
Source: RefSeq, a predicted model, not a curated record